GUAGGGUGGCAAGCGUUGUCCGGAAUUAUUGGGCGUAAAGCGCGCGCAGGCGGUCCUUUAAGUCUGAUGUGAAAGCCCACGGCUCAACCGUGGAGGGUCAUUGGAAACUGGGGGACUUGAGUACAGAAGAGGAAAGCGGAAUUCCAAGUGUAGCGGUGAAAUGCGUAGAGAUUUGGAGGAACACCAGUGGCGAAGGCGGCUUUCUGGUCUGUAACUGACGCUGAGGCGCGAAAGCGUGGGGAGCAAACAGGAUUAGAUACCCUGGUAGUCCACGCCGUAAACGAUGAGUGCUAAGUGUUAGGGGGUUUCCGCCCCUUAGUGCUGCAGCUAACGUAUUAAGCACUCCGCCUGGGGAGUACGGCCGCAAGGCUG
This 372-nucleotide ribosomal RNA is filed under the name uncultured organism. Its description in RNAcentral is "partial 16S ribosomal RNA". It matches the Rfam family "Bacterial small subunit ribosomal RNA", at positions 526 to 896 of the family's 1533-position model. The record is from RNAcentral.